GGAAGAAUCUUUGCUGUUAUGAGUCACUCUGGCAUAAAAGAAGGAUUUUGCUUUCAGCUGCCUUUUGCCUUAAAAGUGGUGUCACUGAAGGGCCAGCUGUUAUUGCUGUGAGAGAUCAAGAGCUCCUUCCAACUCCUGUGUCAUCUGCAAAACCACCAAUUACAAUCAAAAGUGGGAUUAUUUCCAUGCACUUAAGUCUGCUUUCUAUUUCUCCUGAGUUGAUGUCUGUUCCCUUCUGAUUGUUUACAGUGCCCUGGGAAAGCUGAAUCCCUGUGGAA
Long non-coding RNA from Empidonax traillii (willow flycatcher), 278 nucleotides. RefSeq lists it as uncharacterized. The transcript has 3 exons. Lineage: Eukaryota; Metazoa; Chordata; Aves; Passeriformes; Tyrannidae. The record is from RefSeq and is a predicted model, not a curated record.